This 13954-nucleotide long non-coding RNA is filed under the name Homo sapiens (human). RNAcentral's name for it is "non-protein coding lnc-UBE2L5-2:2". The record is from RNAcentral. Lineage: Eukaryota; Metazoa; Chordata; Mammalia; Primates; Hominidae.
AGCGCCCGAGGAACCCCGCAGCCCACUGCCCUGGCGUCUCCGGCAGUGGGAGGCCGAGAGGGGCUGUUGGCUAGAGCCCUCCACCACCUGCUGUCUCGCCCUCGCCCCUUUCUCUCGGAUUCAUUACCCAGAAGGCGCAGGUCCGGGCACAUUCAGCGAUGCGGUCCAGAUGGGGUGCGGGUGGGGCGCAGGCCGCCGCCGCCGCCGCCGCCGAGUCCGUUAGCUCGCGACGUGCGUGAAAAGGCGGCGGCGGCGUAGUGUUGCCAUGGCAGCCGCGGCCGCGCGGUGGGCGCAGCGCGGGAGGGAGCGCGGGGGCUGUGAGUCCGCUCUGGGGCGGAGCUUGGGACUCCCGCCCAGGUUGCCGGGGGGAGGGAGGUGCAGCGGCGCGGGGUGGGAGAGCAGGGAGACAGUGACAUUGAGGAGGACGUGUGGCCGACUGAGCUCUGGUCGUGCUUGAUGAGCCUGCCUCCACUGCGUCCAGCCCCCGUGGCAGGGCACCUUCGUGCCUGCUGCUUUCGGAGGUGAUGCCAGUGGCGUCGAAGGAGGGGGCACCCGGGGCGUCGCAGCGCCUUUCCCGCCGCCUGUCCAGGCGUCCGCCGCUGGGUCUGCCCCCAAGGGAUGUGUGGAUCCUACGCCACCUCUGUGUUUUUCUCCAGUCAAACCGAAUUGAAGUCUUUCGCACCCCCUUUCUCCAUUCUCUGGGGAGGGGGAUAGAAGGGAAUCCUUCGAUAAGAUGGAAUGCAUAUGGCCUUUAGGAUUAUUCAGGAGGUUUUAGAAUUUGCAAAUGGCAUUGCUUUCGACUGAAUUUGGAUUUAUGCUGUUUCUUGGCAAUCGUUUGUGGACUCUAGGAUAAACAGGUUAAGAGCGUGGGCUUCUAAAACGAAUUCUUAGUUCACGUCCUGCCCCUGUGCUUGGUAGCUGAUGACCAGAGGCGCCUUUCUCACCUCUUAACGUUUUGAUCUGCAAAAAUGGAGAUAUCCAUCUUGCAACUCUUGUAAGAAAUACACGCAUUAAUACUGAUGAAGCUCUAUAAAACAAAGCUUAGCAUUUAACAAUAGCUAUUAAAUAUUAAUUAUUUAAUCAAUAGUGAUAAAAGUCAGAAUAGUGGUUGGCUGUCGGGGAGGAGUUUGAGAGAAUUUUUUGUAGUGAUGAAAAAAUUCUAUAGCUAAGAGUUUCGGUUACAGAAGUAUAUGCACUUGUCAAAACUCUUGGAAUGGGACAUUUAAGAUUUGUACAUUUCACUGCAUGUAAAUUUACCUCAAAAGAGAACAUAAAAAUGUGUUGUUAUUAUUAUUAGAGCUAUAGACUCUAAUGGAAACUACAGAGAUAUUCUAGGCCCAAUCUCUAGAUUUUAUAGAUGGGAAAACUGAGGCCCAGAAAUUUAAUAGAAAAAAAGAGGAAGGGGAGUGAAUUCGUGACCUUGUCAUUUUCUAGUAAUGAAUAUCUCCUGAAAAAUUAUGGUUGAAAAUAACAAAAAUGGCUCCUGUAAUCCAGCUGAGUCAUCCUACCACAGAGAUUUUCUUGAACUUGACUGAGUCCCUUAUCCACCUUGUGGUGUUCCCCACGGCCAAUGUCCUCUCAAGGAUUGCACCGUCACUUCUGGCUCUCAGUUCUUGCUUUUCCUGAACACUUAGACCUCUCCACAUAUCACCUCUUACAACUCUCCUCUCUCUACUCCUGCUGACACAUAAUUUCGAAAUCAGCCCCUUUUCUUUGGUUGUUUCUAUAGCCAACUCUUUAGAAGGUUUGGAGCAGAUAAGUGGUUUUAAAUUAAGGAUGCAAAAAACCUAAAAUUAGAAAUCCCUGCUCUUAAAAGUCCUUCAGUUCCUCCCAUGAUAUUUUUAUCCACCAUUUUUUCAUCAUAACCUGUAACCUCCCACUAUUGUACCAUCUUUCUGGUCCCAUCUCUCCCCUCCUCUCCUCUCUUUAUACAAUACUUUUAUUUCCAUCUCCUAAUCUGUGCCUUCAUAGCUACCUGCCAUUCCUAAACUGUUUACCAAAGUUUUUUCCUACACAAAGUAACUUCCCAAGAGGAACUCUGGAGCCAGCUAUUAAAAUAAUAUUUUUUCACAUAUGUAUCCUCAUAUUCUAUUUGAUUCAGUCCACAGUGUAGCUGCUCAAUAAAUAUUAAGCAGCUUACGUACAUGACCUGUUGAUAUAGUUUGGCUGUGUCCCCACCCACCUCUCACUUUAUUGUAAUAAUUCCCACCUGUCAAGGGCAGGGCCAGGUGGGGAUAAUUGAAUCAUGGGCGCGGUUUCACCCGUACUGUUCUUAUGGUAGUGAAUAAGUCUCAUGAGAUCUGAUGGCUUUAUAAAUGGGAGUUCCCCUACACAAGCUCUUUUGCCUGCCACUGUGUAAGAAGCCCCUUUGCUCUUCCUUCAUCUUCCGCCAUGAUUGUGAGGCCUCCCCAGCCAUGUGGAACUGAGUCCAUUAAAACUCUUUCCUUUAUAAAUUACCCUGUCUUGGUUAUGUCUUUAUUAGCAGCAUGAAAACGGACUAAUACACCUGUCCUGGCUACCUUCACAGUGGGUUCACUUAUGAAACCCAUUUUCUUACAUCCAUAAUAAUGGUUUACUCUAGUAUAAAUGAGGAAGCUAUGUGAUAAUAGCUGGAAUCUGCUGUCUAAGAGGAAGAAAAGAAACCAAAGUAACCAUAGCUUGUACAGAAGAAAUGACAGCACUUAAGAGAUGAAGUCCGGAACAAAGUCUGGUAUGAAGCCAUAGGACAUCCUUAUAGGAACUUGGACCUGUCACCUGCAGCAAUUUGGUCACAACUCUGCAUAUGUAAUGAGCAUGUAAAUAAAUUCUCCUUUACUCCUGGAGAAGAUGUUACUGAUCUGCUACCAGCUGAACACAUGUUUGUAGUAGGGAUGAUAGGUUCACCGGAUCCAUCUCUCCCUGAUCUGGUUUCCCUUGUGACCGAUCACUUGUCUUUCUUUGCAAGGCAGCUGGCCAAGGUUGUAGUGCAGCCUACAGCCAUGACGAAGUCUCCAAAGACAAGGUCCCAAUGCAUAACGCUCCUUGUUUUGUGAAGCCAGGAUCCCAGAAAAUCAGCUCAGCAGGACAGGCCACUUGAGAAUGGAUGACAGCAGCACAAACAAAAGCUGUCACAAAAGUGAGUUGGAGGUGGGCAGUCGCGGGAGGGAAGACCACAAGCCACUGAAGCACAGCCUUAAAAUGCCUCGCAUGGCUAUGGACAGGUAGGAACGAAUAAGGACCGAUAGUAAACCAUAGUUUAUUGUUUUCACCAGAUACUUUGGACCUGUUCAAGUGAUAGUUAAACACCCUAUACAAAUCCAAAAGAUGGAGCUGAAAGUAGUAGCACAUUAAUCCACACAGGCAGUGUGGUCAAGAGCCACCACCCUCAUUUACAGCGCAUCUGGUUUACAGUUGAGGUCUUUCCUCAGUUCUUAGAGUUCUUGGCCUCUCUGGCAUUUGACUUUGCUGACUACCCUCCUUGGUGGGUCCUUGACCUUGGAUCUCUUCAGAGCUUUCCAACCAGACUUCAUUAUGUUAUUCACCAGCUCUUUUACCUGCUUCUUAAAUGUGAGGAUAGUUGCCAAGGUUCAGUCACUACACCUUUUCCAUUUGCAAGCUUCCGCCUUGGCCGUGGGUGAUGCUCCAAUUUCUCUUGCUAGUUCUGAUCCACAAGUUCCAGCACUGCACAAGCAGGCCCACUCUUCCUUAACUUGUUCUGUUACUUCUGUUCUCUUCGUCUAAGAUACCAGCGCCUUACCCUAUCUAAGGUCUACGUAUUCUGAAAACAAACCUUCACAUGAAACCUUUCCAGAUCAUUCCUGCUCAGUCAUAUCACCCUGCUCUGUGCUCAGAAUAUUUCCUGCCAAUCUCACUCCCUUGACAGCUGACCAUACUGCUGAGUGGCUGCUCAGUAUUGUUUACUCAUUGGCUUUUUGUCUUUUCUCACUAUAUUUCAAGCUCCUCCAACGUGUAUUUCUGGGUAUUCUCAAAAACACCUUCAUAAUACUCUACAUAUAAUAAGGGCACAAUAAAUGUUUUUGAUUGGUAGUUCUUUUAUCUUUUCCCCUUAGCAAAACUUCCUUUAUCUGGUAGCUCUCCCUCUUCUAGUACUAUGCAGGACAUUUGCAGCCUCUUGAUAUAAAUUUCCCUGAAGCCUAUAACUGUGGGCCCCCAUACAUAUUCAGUGGAGGAGUACCUUGGGAGGUAAUUCCUUAAGUCGCUGUUGCUGUGGAAGGAAUUCAGUAUGUAAGUAGCACUGAAUUCCAACGUUCAGGCCCUCUUACCGUAAAGAUCUAGAGCAGAGUUUUCCUCACUGUGGGUCACAGUCUAUUAGUAGGUCAUGAAGUCAAUGUGAUGGGUCUCUUCCGGCUUUGUCAUAUUUAAAAAGUGAUAAGGUAAGGUAGUGUAGGGUAAAGUAGAAUGCAAUAGAAUGCGGUAGAAAAUGAAAUCCAGAGGGUAUGUGCAUGGUUAGGGUCAAGUAUCGUAUGGCAGUUACUGAGCUGUCAUCUUUCAGCUUCAAACCUACCCUCUGUCCUCUGCUUUGUGUUGGUGGGGCUAGAAUUGUGCAAACCACAUUUCUCCUCUGUCAUCUGGGUGGAGAGGCUGGGGCAGCACAGCAGGACCAGAGGAAGAGCACAAGGCUGGAGGAGAGGGAAGCAACUUGCUCCUUCCUGACAGCCUGCUAUGCUUGGCAGCAUCACUCCUGCCACAGACUUUUAGCCUGGUGGCAGUUUUACUUGUCUCCAGCUUCUUAUUGUAUCUCAACCAGCCUCAUCGCAUCUCUUCUCCCUCCUCCCCAAAGCAUUACCUGCAGCAGCAGCCAGACAGUGUCCCUCUUCAGGAGCCUGUGCCCCAGCUUCAACAGGCCUUUCCUACAAACCCCAACCUCCUCUCCUCCCUUUGAUCUCCAGCCCUUCAGGCGGGAGCUGCUUCUUGCAGUUAUAACCUAUGUAUUACUCCAGUGUUCCUUUUUUAAUUUUUCAGUCCUUGAACAUCUGUCUAAUCAAUUCCCUGUGCUAAAUUCUUGCUCUUAAAAUACCUACUUAAAGUUUCUUUUUUCCUGACUGAACCCUGACUAAUAUGGAUUGUUAAGUAAGAUGUACUUCCUGCCAUAAGUGUCCAUCAAAAGGGUUUAAGAAACACUGCUUUAGAGGAUUGGGAGUUCUUAAAUAGCCAGAUGACCUGAGAUGCAGCUAAGGGGCCAGUCCUAACAUGUAGAGGUACUCUGGAUUUCAGGUCCAUGAAAAGCAAAGAUCCUGUUCCACUAUAGCAGUUGUCACUGUUGGACCCCAGUCACAGCCUGACCUGUAGGGAUCACUAGCGGUGAGCCUGCAGUUGUCCAUCAGAGUAUGGCCUGAACCCAUAUGGAAUCUGUCCUCUCUCAGAUAUGCAGAAAUUCAGCUUCUUUACUUGUUACAGUUUUACUCGUUAUUAGCAAGUGAGAGGAAGCAGAAAGUUAAUGAUGAAGAAAGCCGGGAACUACUACCAGAGACCUCAUACAGUGAAAUGGAACUUGACUGAGUGGAAGAGAAGGAUUUAAAAGGUGGAUUUUCAAGGUGUCAAUUUUCUCUCUCUGAUGCUGCCUUUUCUCUCAUGUAAUCCAAAGAGCUAGUAGACAAGAGGAGGAAAUGAAGAACCUUAUACUAAUACCUAAUACCUAUGUUUUUGCCUUAUCCAGUCAAAAUGAGGCUUUUGCUCUAUUUUAUUCGUGAACUUACUAUACUUAUGCCUCAGUCUCCCAUUAGAAGUGAAACUCACUUAAUCACAUAUUCCUAAUAAAAAGAACUGCUCCACAUUUCAGGAACUCAAAAUAUUUCUUAUGUAUGCCAAGAUAAACACAAAACCUCUUGGCAGCGAUCUAUGAGGAUUCUCCUUGCUUGUGAUUUUGCAUUUCUUUAUGCUAAUUCAGAAAUAUGAACAGAAAACCCAGGACUUGAGGCUGUUAAGUGGAUUUGUAACACUUGGAGUGUUGUGGGCACAUAACUCAAUGAAUGGAUAUAUAGUCAUCUGUGAUAGCUGGAGGAAUAGUAUUUUCAUUGAGCACUGCAGUAAGUCAUUGCAGAUACUCUGCUAGAUACUAAGACAUUAGCAACACUUUUUUCACCUAACUGUUUUAGGACCUUGCAUUUGGUAGAAGAAUACAUAACUCAAAGUGAAUUACUCAGGCAAAUGUUGGCAAGAGUUACUUCGUUUGUGCCAUGCAGAGAAUCUUCUAGUGAAUUGAAAAGCAUGUCAUCCUCUGAUUUACCCACUGAAGCAUGUUACAAUGUAGGUGGCAUGUCACAGAGGAAGAGCAGCUUGUGAUCAGGUUUUCUAUUCAUAGAAGACAGCGUUGUGCCAGGCAACCCCAACCACAGAACAUUUCAAGUAUGAAUGAAAAAGGAGCAGUACAGCUGGGAUCCCGUUUCCCCUUCUAAGGAGAUGCAAGCCCUCUCCAGGGCCCCUCCCAUGUCUGAAAUCCUUUCUUUUCCUAUUUUUCUUAAGUCUGUUCUACUUCCACUAUAGAGAAUUGAGAGUGAUGAGUUUUGGAGGAAAAUUCCAUUUCCUUUCUUCCCUCCUGUUUCUCAUGCAUUUGAGGUCAUCUUUGUGAUUUAUGUGCAUAAAUGAUACAAAAUCAUAAACGUUGGCUUACAUGAAUCGUUCCUAAAUGGUUAACUAUUCAAGCAAACUGUUCAUCAUCUGAUUCUCCCUGAUAUUCUCUCCUUAUGUUCGCUGGUCUGCCUCACUCCUUUCUCAAGUCUCACCUCAAUUUUCACAUUUCCAAAAAAAUCAUCACUGACAAUAAAGGAUUCUAACAGCACUUACUCAACCUCAUCUUGAUCCCUUUUUCCCAAAUUACUGGUUACCUGUUCUUACUGUCUGAAAGUGAAGUUAAGAUGAAAUAAAGUAAGUAUGGCAAUUACAUAAGAUUUGGAAGAACCAUAUGUUUCUUCCUUCUCGAUCUGUUCCAGGAUUUACACCUUCAUGACAGAAAAGCAUUUUAGUUUUUUUUAAUUUAAAACACAAAAAAGAAUUAUAGAGAGUUGCAUAACAAAAAAGAAACCCUGGUACUCACCACAUCCUGAUUUUGAUGUUAUUUUUGGAUUCAUGUUCUUUUACUAUUAUUACAUAUCUGUAUAUUACAGGCAUUACAUAAUAUCAUUUUGCAUAUUUUCAAGCUUUCUAUAAAUGUUGUUAUACUAUGCUUUCUUGAGGUUGCCUUUUUUUAUUCAACAAUAUAUUUCUGAGAUUUAUACAUUAAUAGAUUUAGUUCACUCAUUUUAAUUGCCGUAACCAUAUAAUACCAUUCAUCUGUUUCCUUUGAUGACUAGUUUAUUUCUAUCCUUCACUAAUACCAAAGGUUGUACAAUAAACAUUCUUGAAUAUUUCCAUGUACGUAUGUGUGAAAGGUUUUGGAGAGUUUAUCCAAGAAGUAGAAUGAUAGAUAGCAAAGGGUUCAUCUUCAGUUUUCCUAGAUUUCAUCAAUGUUCCCUAAAGUAACUGUAUUCAUGUACUGUCAGAACAGCAAUGUAAGAGAAUUCCCACUUCAUCAUAUCUUGGAAUUAUCUGACAUUUCUAUUUUUGCUGCUCUGAUGAGUGUGAAUGUAUGAAAGCGUAUUUGGGUUUGAUGUAGGUGUCACUGUAUGAGGGUUGUCAAGUCAGGAAUGUAAGGCUGAAGCUAAGGAAGCAGAGGAAGUCAAAUAUAAAUUAGGCUGCAUGUUGGUUAUCUAUUGCUGCAUAACAAAUUACCACAAACUUGCUCAAAACAAUGCAUAUUUACUUCACAGUUUCUGUGGGUCAGGAAUCCAGUCACAGCUUAGUGACUUCUCUGCUCUAGGAUGUCUCAUGAGGCUGCAGUCAAGGUUGUCAUCCAGGGCUGGGAUCUCUUUUGAAGGCUUGACAUGGGAAGGAUCUGCUUCCAGGCUCUCAUGGUGGUUGCCAGAAUUCAGUUCCUUGCAGGUUGUUGGACUGAGGGCCUCAGUUACUGUCCUGUUACUGUCCUGUGCUCUGAUGUUCUCUAUCCUAUUUCAUUUACAUUUAAUUCAUGAACUACUAGUAGGUGUAGCAAACACAGCCUGCAGGAUGCAGUGCAGAGUACAUGGUGACCUGGCCUGCUCUCUCUUCCUUGUUUUCUGCCUCCUUAUGCUCCCAGACCUCUGUGCCUACACAUGUCCUCCUUCUGCCUAUACCCACCUUCCCCUACUGUACCUGUCACCUUCCCAGCUCCUCUUUGCCCCUCAAGAAUCAGCUCAGGCAUUGCCUCUGGAACCCAUUGCCUGACCCCAGUCUUCUUUCCAUGUGCCCCAUAGAACCCUGUGCCCCCACCAUCACAGCACUUACUCUGAAUUGAAUCAUCUGUUCACUUCUCUGUUUUCCCACUAGACAAGUUCCUUAAGAAUGGGGAGUAGGUCUCUACAGUUUCGUAUCCCCAGCCCUAGCAUAGUGCCUGACAUAAAGUCAAAACCUAAUAGAUGUUUCUUAUAUGAACAAAUGAAUGAAUGUCAUAGAGAUUAAGAAUAGAGAAAGAAGUUCCUGAUAACAUUUAUUGAAGAUCUAUUAUACAUAGAGCACUGUGCUGGAGAGAAUUAUGAAAAAAAUAGUGGAACUUGACAGUGCUAAAUGAAAAAAAAUAGGUAUAAAAUGACCUGUACUUAUAAAUGAGGAUUCUUUAUAUCUGCAACUAAGUACCAUCAGAUGUCUCACUGACAGUGGAUUGAAUGAUGAAAGUGAGAUUUAAAGAACCCAUUUCUUUCAUCUUUUUUCUUUUUUUUUUUUUUUUUUUUUUUUGAGACAGAGUCUCACUCUGUCGCCCAGGCUGGAGUGCAGUGGCGCGAUCUCGGCUCACUGCAACCUCCGCCUCCCGGGUUCACGCCAUUCUCCUGCCUCAGCCUCCUGAGUAGCUGGGACUACAGGCGCCUGCCACCAUGCCCUGCUAAUUUUUUUGUAUUUUUAAUAGAGAUGGGGUUUCACCGUAUUAGCCAGGAUGGUCUCGAUCUCCUGACCUUGUGAUCCGCCCGCCUCAGACUCCCAAAGCGCUGGGAUUACAGACGUGAGCCACCGCGCCCGGCCUUUUUUUCUUAACUGAUUCCCUAUUUUCAUCUCUUACGAGAGAAACCUCAGGCAUUGCUCUUCUAACCCAGGUCUGCUCUCAAACAGAGAGACCCAGUGUUGAGCAAAAGAAAAGGGCUGUUCAAGUGAUUUUUAAUCAAGUACCCCACAUGACUAAUUCAGGUCCUCCAAAAUAGUCCCAGGGAGCCAAAAUGAGGUAAUAUGACAUGUUGUGGACUUGAAGGGUGGUUAAGGACACAUACAGCCACUGCUUCAGAUGCCGCUGUGAGGCAGAAAAUUCAGGAAUGCAGUAGAGGAGGGGAAUGUGAACCCAGAAUGCACUCAGUGUCUCUCCUUCAGACGCUUUUUUGACCCUCGGAAGCCUGGUCUGCUCAGGUCAAUUCUGCAACCCUGGAUGUUGAAUUAGUGAAUAAACAAACUAGGUCAAAAACAAAUGCAGACUAUAUUAAAAAGAAUAAGAUAUGUUCUCCUUGUUUUGGGCUUAAUUUAAAAUCCUAAGAGCAGGAUAACAGCAUCAUAAAUAACAUGACCUCUCUCAAACUACUGCCUUCUCCUACUAGUUAUAAUAAUAGCAACAGCUUAUAUUUGUAUCUAUUUUUAUAGUCUGUGAGACGCUUUAUCUUUUUUCAGCUUAUUUGAGCUCAGAGCAGCCUUGUAAAAUAGGUACAAGUAUUAUACCCAUUUUGUAGGUGAGGAAACUGAGGUUCACAGAGGUUAAACAACUGUGGAUCACACAGCAACUGACUAGGACUGUUUGGGAUUCUAAGGUAUAAUAGUGCCAAUUUGUUGAAAGGGAAUAGCAACAAAAAAACUUGGACUCUAACCCCAAGUCUGCCAGCUAUUAAGGUGUAUGAUCUUGGACAUGUCGUUUACCUUUUUUUUUUAAAAAAAAAAAAAAGACAGGGUCUCACUCUGUCACCCAGUUUGGAGCGCAGUGGUACGAUCAUAGCUCACUGCAUCCUUGAACUCCUGGGCUCAAGCGAUCCUUCUGCCUCAGCCUCUUGAAUAGCUGGGACUACAUAGAUGUGUGCCAACCACACCUGGCUAAUUUUUUAAAUUUAUUGUAGAGACGGGUCUUGCUGUGUUGCCCAGACUGGUCUUGAACUCCUAGGCUCAAGGGAUCCUCCCAAAGUGCUGGGAUUACAGGCAUGAGCCACCAGGUUUGGCCCCAUUCAACCUUCUGACCUUCAUUUACUCACUUAUAAAAAAUGUACAUAAUCGGCCGGGCGCGGUAGCUCACGCCUGUAAUCCCAGCACUUUGGGAGGCCGAGGCGGGCGGAUCACAAGGUCAGGAGAUUAAGACCAUCCUGGCUAAUAUGGUGAAACACUGUCUCUACUAAAAGUACAAAAAAAUUAGCUGGGUGUGGUGGCACAUGCCUGUAGUCCCAGCUACUCGGGAGGCUGAGGCAGGAGAAUCACUUGAACCCAGGAGGUGGAGGUUGUAGUGAGCCGAGAUCGGGCCACUGCAUUCCAGCCUGGUGACAGGGCAAGACUCCAUCUCAAAAAAAAAAAAAAAUGUACAUAAUCAUACCUUCCCUCUCUGCCUCACAGGGUGCCUAUGAGGACAAAAAAGGUGGUAUAUGUGAAAGUGCUUCAUAACUGAGCUGGUAAUCCAUAGAUGUCUGGUAUUAGCAAUGUUUUCUAAUAAAAUAAUAAGAGUAAUACUCGUUAUAACCUCUUUGCUUUGACAGUGCCUUUCAUUGCAGCCAUUCAGUAAUUUUGCAGCUUAUUAUCACCUGUAUAACACCCCUGUUGCUACCAUGUCUAAAGGUGCACAAGCAGCCAGCCAGUGAGGGAAGGGGAAGGUCUUUCUUCUCAGCAUGUCUUUAGAGCAGUGAUUCUCUAAGUUGUAGCACACUGGAAUCCCCUGGGGAGCUUCACACAUGCAGGUGUCUAGGUCCCACCCUGGCCAAUUAAAAUUUAAUCUGGUGGGGAGGAACUGGGCACCAGUAUUUUUUUAAAGUUUCCCAAGUGAUUCUAAUAUGCAGCCAAGGUUGGCAACCACUGCUCUUUGGACUAUUUGUACAUCUCAGUGGCUGCUGAAAGUGAUCACAGUUUUAAAAGAACACAGCUUGUGGUUCUGGAAAAAUCCAUCUGCUUUUUCCAGAAAUGUAGUACGUAAGUCAAAUAGGUCUGAGGUCACUUGGGAGAGAAAUCCAAGAGUUGGACUGAGAGCUCAAACCACAAAGAUUCUAAAUGCCACCAUCACUUAGAUAGCUGCCCUUUUUCCUGAACUGCCACUGUUGACAGAUAAGAUGGUGCACACAGCGAGAAUCUGAGCAGCACAGAGCCCCCCAUCCCCAUCACUGUUCCUCCACUAAGCUCCCCUUGAAAACAUUCCACAGGACUUCCUAUUCACGGUGAUUAGAAAAGUGAAUACCUCCUAUUUUAAAAGAAAAAAAUCUCAGAGGAUAAGCACGUAGCCGACGAGUGGCCAAUUCUGUAAUUUUCCCCAUGGAUAAUAAGGAAAUAAUCAUACAUUAUUUAAUAAUGUAUUUUUCCAUUGAAUUCCAAUGUGUCUACAAAUUAUACAUGUUUUAUAUGAUGUUUCACUUUAGGGUUAAGCCAAAUAAGCAUACAUUUAUUUUAUAAAUAUAAAUAUAUUAUCUAUUAAAAUAGUUUCUAGUAAAAACAUAGGUUUAGCUAUUUGACUCAAAUUUCUUAAAGAAGCCAUAGUUAGAAGAAAAUAUCCACUAGAGUAUACUAGACUUUAUGUCUUCGCAGGAGAAGUAACACUUCCUCAUCUGUUUACCUCUCAACUCCCUUCUCCAACUAGAAAUGAAGACACAAGAUAAUAAAAGGAUUUGACUUUUCAGUAUCCCUUUCGAACUGGGCACCACCCAGAAGAAAGAUUCUGUUAACUACUCCCUUUAGAAAUUAUCUCAAGGUGAGUUGCAUGUCUCAUUUGAUCACUUCUUUUACAAGACUGGAAACAAUUUGUAUGGAGUAAACUCCUGUUACCAGACCUGGAGGCUUAAAUAAUGAAGAGGUUUAUCUCUCAUCUGAGAAGAGUUUAUAGUCCGCAGCAAUAGCCUGGAGACAAAUACACCUCUGGGAUCCCACAAAGGCGGUAAUUAGGCAGCAUUUUAUUGUGAUGCAGUGAGUGUGCAAAGGACAGAGCUGGACUACUCUUAGGAACAAAAUUGGCUUCCUGGAGAGCCGACAGAAGAAAUCUGGCAACCUAAAAAUAUUUAAAGAGCUUACGACCCCCAAGGGAGAAUUUCCAGCUAUUAAAGUAGAAAAGAUUAAACAUUUGCUGGGCUUGAAAAGGAGAUUUUUAAUGGAAACACUCAGGAAAAUACAGUUUAGAUAGAGAAUCUUAAAAAAAAAAAAAAGAUCAGACCUGUCAUAUACAGAGCAAUCAAAUGGGAGACUUUAUAUUUUCUUCGUAAUGACAUAAGAAAAAGGAUCUAAAAAUAGAUCCUACCGAUAAUGAACUCUUCCUUCUCCUGCGUUUAUUAGAAUAUAACACCUUCAUUACAGAGAGGACAUGUUCCUACUCACCAUCUCACAGGCAUAAAUCUUGACAUGGUCUUCACACCCUUUUCCUCUGGCCCCUAAUUACAAUUCUGCUAUUUAUUUCUCAACACAGCCUACAUUUCGUGUGUUUCUCGUAUGAAUGAGUUGCAGUGUGUGCUGUGGUUAAGCUGGUGGGCACCAGGCCCAGCUCCCUCAAGUUUGGCUUUCUGACCUUGCCAAUGACUUCACCCUUUGUGCCUUAGUUUCCGUGGCUAUAGAAUGGGGAUAAUAAUAGCACCAGUCUCUGUGUGUUGUCAGGAGGAUUAAGGCACAGCAUAGCACUGAGGAAAGUGCACAACACUCAGUAAAAACACAAUAAAUGUUCAUCAUUAUUGUCACUACUCUGCAUUCCCUUAGUGCCUAUAAAAAUAGCAUAUUUUUAAAAUAAAAAAAACAAGAUACAUGGUCUAACAAAAGAUUGUUUUCAGAUUCAUGGAUUUAUGUGGAAAGUCUCAAGACAUUUAGUUAUACAUUAAGGUAUCUUUUUUAUUACUGUAAUUACUUAACAAUCCUAAAAUCCAAGAAGUAUUCCACAGCAUGGUCCCUGACCUUCAAGCAGUUUAUAUUCCACUUGAGAGACAGAACAUAUGCCCAUGAACUAUUAAACACAAAUCCAAAGCAGUUCAUGAUUAUGUAUAAAACGAGUAGUUCAGAAGGUGAGAACUAGAAAAAUGGGGAGAGGGAAUUCUGAGGGAAUCAAGUCUCCAUUGUGUGCAUGAAGUUGAUAGAGAACUUCAUUUGGACCAUGAAAUAAAGGUAAGGAAAAUGAAGGGAUUUUCCAGCAGGCAGGAAGACAUGAAGGUAAGAGCAAGUCAACAGAGCCGUUCAUCUGCCGCAGGUGAUUUGCCUCUGAAAUUAGGUGACAUCGGUGGAUGAGGCACAGGUUAUGCAGUUGAGGGGUUCAAAUGCCAGAGGGAAGAUUCUGACUUCACCCUGAGAGUCUCUGAAGUUUUGUUAGUUGGAAAGUGGCAUAAACACAGAUGCAAUAUAGGUUUAUAUGGGGAGAGACAGGAGUCAAGGAGAAACGCUGAUGGUUUUUAAUAAUAAUCUAGGUAUAACUCAGACGGGGCCUACCAGGGUGGGGACAUUGGGAACAUAAAGGAAGUGACAGACAGCCGUGAAAGCAUGACAAAGACUCAUCCCCUUCGCUCCAUUCUCACAGCCCAAAUCCUCCCAGAGCAGCCUUUGCUAUCUGAGCACACCAAGCCAAGUUCAGGAGCACCAGAUGCCAGAUGCACCUCCAAGGUUUUCCAAGGUCCUUGUGGACAGUCUCAUCCUGAUUUCCAUUUACUCCCACUUGCCUUUCUAUCAUGUGUACCCGAUAGAUUCCAAAAAUAGAAAAUCAUAUGUCUCCCUCCUUCUAAAAGCAUGUAGUAUUUUCCAGUUGUGUAGGCUUUCUAAAAAUAUU